GCGAGCGGAGUGACAAGGAAACUGUCACGCUCCGUUCUGGGAGGGGCGAUUGGAAAAGUGCUGUCUUCGGAUAGUAACUCGUUGGUCGCCUACUCUAC
This is a non-coding RNA of Desulfosporosinus sp. I2, 98 nucleotides long. NCBI's taxonomy places the organism in Bacteria, Bacillati, Bacillota, Clostridia, Eubacteriales, Desulfitobacteriaceae. The record is from Rfam.